GGUAAUACGGAGGGUGCAAGCGUUAAUCGGAAUUACUGGGCGUAAAGCGCACGCAGGCGGUUUGUUAAGUCAGAUGUGAAAUCCCCGCGCUUAACGUGGGAACUGCAUUUGAAACUGGCAAGCUAGAGUCUUGUAGAGGGGGGUAGAAUUCCAGGUGUAGCGGUGAAAUGCGUAGAGAUCUGGAGGAAUACCGGUGGCGAAGGCGGCCCCCUGGACAAAGACUGACGCUCAGGUGCGAAAGCGUGGGGAGCAAACAGGAUUAGAUACCCUGGUAGUCCACGCUGUAAACGAUGUCGACUUGGAGGUUGUGCCCUUGAGGCGUGGCUUCCGGAGCUAACGCGUUAAGUCGACCGCCUGGGGAGUACGGCCGCAAGGUUAAAACUCAAAUGAAUUGACGGGGGCCCGCACAAGCGGUGGAGCAUGUGGUUUAAUUCGAUGCAACGCGAAGAACCUUACCUACUCUUGACAUCCACGGAAUUCGCCAGAGAUGGCUUAGUGCCUUCGGGAACCGUGAGACAGGUGCUGCAUGGCUGUCGUCAGCUCGUGUUGUGAAAUGUUGGGUUAAGUCCCGCAACGAGCGCAACCCUUAUCCUUUGUUGCCAGCACGUAAUGGUGGGAACUCAAAGGAGACUGCCGGUGAUAAACCGGAGGAAGGUGGGGAUGACGUCAAGUCAUCGUGGCCCUUACGAGUAGGGCUACACACGUGCUACAAUGGCAUAUACAAAGAGAAGCGAACUCGCGAGAGCAAGCGGACCUCAUAAAGUAUGUCGUAGUCCGGAUUGGAGUCUGCAACUCGACUCCAUGAAGUCGGAAUCGCUAGUAAUCGUAGAUCAGAAUGCUACGGUGAAUACGUUCCCGGGCCUUGUACACACCGCCCGUCACACCAUGGGAGUGGGUUGCAAAAGAAGUAGGUAGCUUAACCUUCGGGAGGGCGCUUACCACUUUGUGAUUC
RNAcentral lists this ribosomal RNA (952 nucleotides) under uncultured bacterium. Its description in RNAcentral is "bacterial SSU rRNA". It matches the Rfam family "Bacterial small subunit ribosomal RNA", at positions 519 to 1470 of the family's 1533-position model. The record is from RNAcentral.